Long non-coding RNA from Spodoptera frugiperda (fall armyworm), 942 nucleotides. RefSeq lists it as uncharacterized. The transcript is spliced from 2 exons. The record is from RefSeq and is a predicted model, not a curated record. NCBI's taxonomy places the organism in Eukaryota, Metazoa, Arthropoda, Insecta, Lepidoptera, Noctuidae.
AUCAAUCACAUCAACAGCCUAUAAGUGGCCACUGCUGACCAAAGGUCUCUUCUCACACGGAGAAGGUUUGAGCAUUAAUCACCACGCUUACUCAAUGCGGGUUGGCGAUUUCAAACUUAUAAUUAGAAAUUAUAAGCCCAGGUUUCCUCACGAUGUUUUCCUUCACCAUUUGUCAGUGGUGUCUAAAUAAUCUUAGAAAGUACAUAUAACUAGGAAAAAGUCACAUUGGUACUUGCCGUUGGUAGGUUUCGAACCCGCACUCUCAUGCAUAAGAAGUGGGCGUUUUAAACUUCCACCAAGAAUAUAAAAAAAACAAUAAUUCGAUGUAAUUCAACUUUGUGUAAUCCACAAAUUGUUGUUUCGGGUCUGGGUGUCAUGUGUAUGUGAACUUGUAUGUUUGUAAACGCACACACGACACAGGAGACAAUCAUAGUAAACAAUUAAAAAUGACAAAAAAAUUACAUAUGACAAAAAAAAAUAAUUACACAAGCGAGAAUAAGACUGAGCAAGUGGUCUCAGGUUCGAUUACCGAGCCGGGCAAGGUAUAAUUGACUUGACUGGACUGUUGGCGCGGUAGCUGGACAACUGGCUGCCGUGAAACGUGGAGCGGGUCGGAGCAAUUCUUUGUGUGAUCCACAAAUUGUUGUUUCGGGUCUGGGUGUCAUGUGUAUGUGAACUUGUAUGUUUGUAAACGCACCCACGACAUAGGAGAAAAUCAUGAGGACAAACAGGAGGUAACCCUAGUGUUUUUUUUUUUGAACGGGGAUAAUCAUCUAAUGACUUCUCCCGCCUUGGGCGAGGCAAGAGGGAAUGUCAGACUCUUACUGACUAAAAACCACCCCGUUCCUACUCCUGCUUUUCGAGCCGGAGCCCCGGUAAACCCGCUAGGUAGUCCGCAGCUCCGGAUAAACAAUCCUAGUGUGGGGCAACGUCUUUUAAAAA